Molecule: ribosomal RNA, 574 nt
Filed under: uncultured Cyrtostrombidium
Lineage: Eukaryota; Ciliophora; Spirotrichea; Cyrtostrombidiidae
Description: partial large subunit ribosomal RNA
Rfam family: Eukaryotic large subunit ribosomal RNA
Source: RNAcentral
UCUCCGUGCAGCGCACGGCGAAUUGUAAUCUAGAGAGGCUAUGCUCAAAGGGUGGUGGCGCAGAAGUGCCCUGGAACGGGCCGCCAAAGAGGGUGACAGCCCCGUACGUGGCGCCGCCGCCUAACGAGCAGGUCUUCGAAGAGUCGGGUUGUUUUGUAUUGCAGCCCUAAGUGGGAGAUAAACUUCUUCUAAGGCUAAAUAUAUGUGGGAAACCGAUAGCGAACAAGUACUGUGAAGGAAAGAUGAAAAGCACUUUGGAAAGAGAGUCAAAAGACCUGAAACCGUUGAGGAGGAAGCGGUAGAGAUGAAUUCUACGGCGAGGCGCUGGGGAGCCAGCCUAACCAUGGCGGGGAGGUCGUACGUCAAAGGCGGCACUUCGUCCAAGGGGAAGCUGGUGACUUGCGCGGCGUUGUGAGGCCGGAUGGGGUGACGUGAUCACAGAGGCCUGCCAGGCCUGGCUCGUUUCGACGGGCAGCCUGGGAGUGCCGGUGGCUGCGUGGCCUGAGGAUGCUUUGUGCGAUCCGGUCAAAAUGGUCUUUACCGACCCGUCUUGAAACACGGACCAAGGAGUCUA